UGCCAUAAGGUUAGUAUUACCUUAUGGCAUAUAUGUAGCAUGUAGCA
RNAcentral lists this non-coding RNA (47 nucleotides) under unclassified sequences. RNAcentral describes it as "ssNA-helicase RNA". It matches the Rfam family "ssNA-helicase RNA". From Rfam's summary of the family: Firmicutes, Actinobacteria (1 example). Downstream gene The record is from Rfam by way of RNAcentral.